UAUAGAAACUACAAAUAACAAAUCAUUUAAGCAAUGUAGUCGGACGAAGAAAGAUGUAAUAGCAGUAGCAGAAGUUGUGGCAAAAUGUGCUAAUAUUUUUAUCAUGGUUGGAAUACUAGUCUGGAAUAUGAAACAACUGAAUAGGUUAAUCAUUUAUUUGAAGCGUACAACAUCUACUAAAUUACAGUAAGGAAGAUCAUUGUUUUUAUAAAAACGGGGUAUCUGCUAAAUUGAAAGUGUAUAGAAUCAAGAAGUACCAGUAUUCCAGAAACCAACAACACCAUCAACAUCAAGAAAAACAUCAAGAGGGACUGCUCUCUCAACGGUCAUUCUACCAAAAGUGUCGAUUCCAUGAUAAAAAUAGUCGAGCAGCAGAAUCAAGUAAGAUAGUAACCAACCACAUUUUAGAUAAAAGCAACAAACAAAACUGCUAUUACAUAAAAAAGUCUGAAGUUUACAGAAGUUAUACACUUACACUAAAAAAAUGUGUGCAAUUCGUGAUACUAUACACUCAGUGAUAAUGAACAGUGACCCGAUCAAUUGAACUUCAUUGGUUCAAUUUUAACCUACAUAUGAUUAUGGAAAAACGUCAUUACUCUUUUUCUACGUAGACAUUGUCUUUUUAUUACUUACGAAAUAUCCAAAAUAGAGACAAAACUAUAUUGAAUGUGCUGGCAGAAAAGAAACCAAGAAACCAAGAAACUAGGAAACUAAAAUGAAGAACUAUAAACUAAAUUGAGCGACGGUGAUCCGUUAUUACUAACGGUUAGCGCGAAAAUAUUGCCCAUAGCAACGAAUACAAUUGAAAUCAACGAGUUGCUAAUAUUUGGGACAUAAAGUUGUCAAUAAAUAUCACGGGAAGAAAACAAUUGUUGUCGUAAUUUGACAACACAUCGAUAAUAUAUAUAUGUGUGUGUGUGUGUGUGUUGUGUAUGUUAUAGAACUAUUUUUUAUACAAUUUCAUUUUAUACAUUAUAUACAUUUUAUAGUUAUACUUAAUUAUAUAAUUUUAUAACAUUUUUUAUACAAUUAUUUGGUUUGCCACUGUACCAUAUAAUGUAUAAUAAAUAUUGUUAAAAUAUU
Aethina tumida (small hive beetle) is the source of this 1083-nucleotide long non-coding RNA. RefSeq lists it as uncharacterized. The record is from RefSeq and is a predicted model, not a curated record. The transcript has 2 exons. NCBI's taxonomy places the organism in Eukaryota, Metazoa, Arthropoda, Insecta, Coleoptera, Nitidulidae.